Molecule: ribosomal RNA, 468 nt
Filed under: uncultured bacterium
Lineage: Bacteria
Description: partial 16S ribosomal RNA
Rfam family: Bacterial small subunit ribosomal RNA
Source: RNAcentral
GACGAACGCUGGCGGCGUGCUUAACACAUGCAAGUCGAACGGAAAGGCCCUGCUUUUGUGGGGUGCUCGAGUGGCGAACGGGUGAGUAACACGUGAGUAACCUGCCCUUGACUUUGGGAUAACUUCAGGAAACUGGGGCUAAUACCGGAUAGGAGCUCCUGCUGCAUGGUGGGGGUUGGAAAGUUUCGGCGGGUGGGGAUGGACUCGCGGCUUAUCAGCUUGUUGGUGGGGUAGUGGCUUACCAAGGCUUUGACGGGUAGCCGGCCUGAGAGGGUGACCGGCCACAAUGGGACUGAGAUACGGCCCAGACUCCUACGGGAGGCAGCAGUGGGGAAUAUUGCACAAUGGGCGGAAGCCUGAUGCAGCAACGCCGCGUGCGUGAUGACGGCCUUCGGGUUGUAAACCGCUUUCGCCUGUGACGAAGCGUGAGUGACGGUAAUGGGUAAAGAAGCACCGGCUAACUACGUG